Molecule: ribosomal RNA, 497 nt
Filed under: uncultured bacterium
Lineage: Bacteria
Description: partial 16S ribosomal RNA
Rfam family: Bacterial small subunit ribosomal RNA
Source: RNAcentral
GAUGAACGCUGGCGGCGUGCCUAAUACAUGCAAGUCGAGCGAACAGACGAGGAGCUUGCUCCUCUGACGUUAGCGGCGGACGGGUGAGUAACACGUGGAUAACCUACCUAUAAGACUGGGAUAACUUCGGGAAACCGGAGCUAAUACCGGAUAAGAUAUUGAACCGCAUGGUUCAAUAGUGAAAGACGGUUUUGCUGUCACUUAUAGAUGGAUCCGCGCCGCAUUAGCUAGUUGGUAAGGUAACGGCUUACCAAGGCUACGAUGCGUAGCCGACCUGAGAGGCUGAUCGGCCACCCUGGAACUGAGCCACGGUCCAUACUCCUACGGGAGGCAGCAGUAGGGAAUCUUCCGCAAUGGGCGAAAACCUGACGGAGCGGCGCCACGUGAGUGAUGAAGGUCUUCGGAUCGUAAAACUCUGUUAUUAGGGAAAAACCAAUGUGUAAGUAACUAUGCACGUCUUGACGGUACCUAAUCAGAAAGCCCCGGCUAACUACGUG